AGGUCCUGCCUGCCCAGUGACUAUGUUAAACGGCCGCGGUAUUUUGACCGUGCAAAGGUAGCGCAAUCACUUGUCUUUUAAAUGAAGACCUGUAUGAAUGGUGGAACGAGGGCCUAACUGUCUCCCUUUUCAAGUCAAUGAAAUUGAUCUAUCCGUGCAGAAGCGGGUAUGCGAAUACAAGACGAGAAGACCCUUUGGAGCUUAAGAUUAAAAAUCAACUAUGUCAAAUAUCCACCGGAUAAAACUAAAUAGCAACUGAUCAUAAUCUUCGGUUGGGGCGACCACGGAAUAAAGACAAACUUCCACAUGGACUGAGGACUAACCUUAAACCCAAGAAAGACAUUUCUAAGUCACAGAAUUUCUGACCACACAGAUCCGGCAAAUCGCCGAUCAAUGGACCAAGUUACCCUAGGGAUAACAGCGCAAUCCCCUUUUAGAGUUCCUAUCGACAAGGGGGUUUACGACCUCGAUGUUGGAUCAGGAC
This 484-nucleotide ribosomal RNA is filed under the name Hoplisoma nattereri (blue corydoras). RNAcentral describes it as "Corydoras nattereri partial 16S ribosomal RNA". It matches the Rfam family "Bacterial large subunit ribosomal RNA", at positions 1850 to 2543 of the family's 2925-position model. The record is from RNAcentral. RNAcentral also lists the same sequence under 1 other name. Lineage: Eukaryota; Metazoa; Chordata; Actinopteri; Siluriformes; Callichthyidae.